RNAcentral lists this long non-coding RNA (247 nucleotides) under Lathyrus oleraceus (garden pea). RNAcentral's name for it is "Pisum sativum (pea) long non-coding RNA (PSAT_LNC033016)". The record is from RNAcentral. Lineage: Eukaryota; Viridiplantae; Streptophyta; Magnoliopsida; Fabales; Fabaceae.
AUUUUUCGCACGCUUGUCCCUUUUGUAUUAGAUUCACCACCCCAAACUUAGAAUUCAACACAGUUUCAAAAUCCACAACAUUUAUGCCGAGCAAGGGUAAAAGAGAUUAUUAUAUUUUUUUCUUUUUCUGGCCAUAGGGUAACAUAAGCGGUUUAAAAACAAACAAAAUGGUUAAAGGCUCAACAGGGGUUUGCAACGGAUAAAACGUAACAAGGGUGGCUGGAAAGGCUCAAGGUUAACAACAAAA